Molecule: unclassified non-coding RNA, 313 nt
Filed under: plant metagenome
Description: partial contains 5.8S ribosomal RNA, internal transcribed spacer 2, and large subunit ribosomal RNA
Rfam family: 5.8S ribosomal RNA (bases 1-105)
Source: RNAcentral
GAAAUGCGAUACGUAGUGUGAAUUGCAGAAUUCAGUGAAUCAUCGAAUCUUUGAACGCACAUUGCGCCCUUUGGUAUUCCAAAGGGCAUGCCUGUUCGAGCGUCAUUUGUACCCUCAAGCUUUGCUUGGUGUUGGGCGUUUUUUGUCUUUGGCUCGCCCAAAGACUCGCCUUAAAACGAUUGGCAGCCGGCCUACUGGUUUCGCAGCGCAGCACAUUUUUGCGCUUACAAUCAGCAAAAGAGGACGGCAAUCCAUCAAGACUCCUUCUCACGUUUGACCUCGGAUCAGGUAGGGAUACCCGCUGAACUUAAGC